This 2077-nucleotide long non-coding RNA is filed under the name Mus musculus (house mouse). Its description in RNAcentral is "predicted gene 3045, transcript variant 3 (Gm3045)". Lineage: Eukaryota; Metazoa; Chordata; Mammalia; Rodentia; Muridae. The record is from RNAcentral.
AGUAGGCAGGAGGGGUUGCCUGGUGAAGAGCAGGCAGGGAGGAGGCUCACAGGGGAGAGACGUUGACCUUCUAGCUCUAGGCUGAGUUUUAGGUUUAGUGUCAGCACUUGGGGCUCCAGCUAGCUCCAGCUGGGAUUCUAAGGGGCAAGUGCAGACAAUGCAGAAGAGCCAAGAAGCCGAGUCCGGCACCUUGAUCUCUCUGAGCCUCCUGUUGGGGGAGGACCCAGAACACCUGUCCCAGCAACUGCGGGCUACCAGUCUACGGGACAGGGAGCCACUUGGCUCUCCCGGCCUCUCCAAGGAAGAGCACCUCGCCAGUGCCACCACCACCCCUCAAGGCUGCAGCUGGUGUCUGGGCUCCAGAGACCCCUUUCCGGGAAGUGAGACACAAGAUGGCUGCCACAAAGUCACAGCCAGAGAUGGAUGCCUUUCUCUCUUGGCAGGGCCAGACCUAAUCUCUGGGUUUCCACCCUCACCAGUCUGCUGCUGCUGCUUGCGAGGGCACCAUGCUCAUGAGGCCUCAGGAUUUGUACCAUACUACAGGAGCCCCGAAGAGAGGCUACGGGCCAGCCCUGUGGUUUCCUCCUCUGUGCUGGGGAGUUCAUGGGAGUGACCCCCCCAACCUGGUGCUGCCAGCCUGGGAAGGCGCAGGAGUGAAGGCAGUGGGGACUUCUGGGGAGUCAUACUCCAGUGCCUCCUGAUCAUCGAGGGACAAGGGGAACUGGAACAGAGGCCCCCCACAGCUCAGGCCACCUGCCCUGGGACCCCAGCUGGCCUAAUCUCCCAGCUUGUUCCCACUUGUGUCCAUCAACUGAGGAGAAAGUCGGAGAGGAGUCAGGCAGUCCUUGGCCCUCAGAACCUGGUACAGAAGAAAACACAGGAGCUCCAGCACCGUGCACUGGCGUUUUGGGUGUGACGCAGUUGGCAUGCUAAUUCUGUUUUAUCGAUGAUAAAGAAGCUGAGGCAGAGAAACCCGGGCAUUUAUGCAGCGGGGUGGGGAUUGUGGGCCUUCAGGAAAGUCACUUCCCUUCUUGAGUCCUGGCCUGAAGGAGCAUUUGGGGCUUGGAGUGGAGCCGCCCACGAGUCUCACAAUCAUCACCACUGAGUGACAUUAGCGAAUUUAUUUGACCUCCCGCCUGAAAGCCUGGUGUAGCCUGGCAGAGCUGACUGCCCACCCGCAAGAUGGGAGCCUGGUUACUUACAAGCUGCAAGUGAUCCUGAAGUAAGGUUUGUUGUUUGUUUUUGUUUUUUGUUUUUCCUCCAGUCUACAACUCCCAAGAAGACUCUCAGUGGCUCCUCUGGCACUCUCAGAGAGUCCUCCCUGGCCCCCGCAGCCUCGCUGGCAUCCUCAGACUUCUUGCUGGACCUUUUUAAUGCAGACCCCAGCUCCUUACCAGCCCGUGGCAGGAAACCCCUCCAUUCUGGCAACCUCGCUGUCCUGGAGGCCCCGAGUGCUGUGCAGCAGCGCCCCCUCCUGGCGCAUCUUGUCAGGACAGCUGGCUUCCCUGAGAUCUACAGUUUGAUUGUUCAGACACUGCCUAAGAAGGCACCACACCUACCUUACUUAUAAAGAGCGACACCACCAGCCACCAGCUGCAGCAGCCUCUCAACCCUGGUGCAGCGACCUGGCAGCCAGAGUCCUCAAACGGCCAAUCCACCCUCACUCCCCAGCCACAUGCUAUCACGCAGCUCCCGAAGUCUCACCGGGUGGACGACAGACUGAAAAUCAUCUGAGCAUUCUCUGGGCAGAGCCCAGGGAACUGUCUUUGCGGAAGGAACCCUGUUCCCAAUGACAAGCUCACAGAGCAAACCUGAAGUCAGUGUGGCCCUUUUCUCCCUCCAGUUACCUCCCACAGCCUGCACAAGAACAAUACAGGCCCAAAGCACAUGUGGGGCCUGUCACAGGCAUCAGUCAAAUGUCUUUCUGUUGGUGGGGGAAGGGGUCUAGUGAUCAGCACAAAAGCCUGGAGGCUGAAAAGAAGCCAGGAUUCUGUGGGACUCUGGGAAAGGCGCCUGGGGACCUCCUUAGCUCUGCCAUGAUUAGGACUCCCUCUGACAUAAAGUGGCUGGCCCUUUA